CGCCAGGAAGCUAAAAUAGGUGUAAGCAUUAGCCUUUUAAGCUAAAAACUGGUGGCUCCUAACCACCCCCCGCGA
This 75-nucleotide transfer RNA is filed under the name Plectropomus leopardus (leopard coralgrouper). RNAcentral describes it as "tRNA-Lys". It matches the Rfam family "tRNA". From Rfam's summary of the family: Transfer RNA (tRNA) molecules are approximately 80 nucleotides in length. Their secondary structure includes four short double-helical elements and three loops (D, anti-codon, and T loops). The record is from RNAcentral. Lineage: Eukaryota; Metazoa; Chordata; Actinopteri; Perciformes; Serranidae.